GUGCUCGAUUCAUUAGCACAUACACUAAAACUGCAACGAUACAGAGAAGAUUAGCCCCUUCACAAGGAUGACAUGCAAAUUCAUGAGUCAUUCCAUACUUAA
Cricetulus griseus (Chinese hamster) is the source of this 102-nucleotide small nuclear RNA. The record is from Ensembl. NCBI's taxonomy places the organism in Eukaryota, Metazoa, Chordata, Mammalia, Rodentia, Cricetidae.